UACGUAGGGUGCGAGCGUUGUUCGGAAUUACUGGGCGUAAAGCGCACGUAGGCGGAUUUGUAAGUCAGGGGUGAAAUCCCGGGGCUCAACCUCGGAACUGCCUUUGAUACUGCAAAUCUCGAGUCCGAUAGAGGUGGGUGGAAUUCCUAGUGUAGAGGUGAAAUUCGUAGAUAUUAGGAAGAACACCGGUGGCGAAGGCGGCCCACUGGAUCGGUACUGACGCUGAGGUGCGAAAGCGUGGGGAGCAAACAGG
RNAcentral lists this ribosomal RNA (253 nucleotides) under uncultured bacterium. Its description in RNAcentral is "partial 16S ribosomal RNA". It matches the Rfam family "Bacterial small subunit ribosomal RNA", at positions 524 to 776 of the family's 1533-position model. The record is from RNAcentral.